Varroa destructor (honeybee mite) is the source of this 2868-nucleotide long non-coding RNA. RefSeq lists it as uncharacterized. The record is from RefSeq and is a predicted model, not a curated record. Lineage: Eukaryota; Metazoa; Arthropoda; Arachnida; Mesostigmata; Varroidae.
AAUGGUUGAACAAAACAAAUCUCUAGUCUUACAGCGUUUGCGCUACCAAUGCUGAAUCAAUAAUGAGAAAAACAUAAGCAGUUACUGGUACCCGAUACUCUGGUAAAGUGGGCGUAAGGAAACUAAAUUUGGUUCCGGUGGAGAUCCUAUGGCGAGAAAACAUAUCGCCAAGACGCCGCUUUCUGAUGUUCCAUCAGUGUCACCAAAGUGCACAAAAACAGAAAAGAAAAACUCCAACCCCUGGAUAAUUUUUCGAAAAGAAUCUCCAAUGUGUUCUAUUCAUUCACAACUGACUUUGCUAACAAUGACGCCCUCGUAUAAUCAGAAUCAUAGUUAUCCCUGCUGUCGUACCUUUAAGUGAUGACCGUUUUCGCACUCGAAAUUAUAAGUAAUCAUUUGCUAGCAGUCUCUUUGUACGGUAUCUACUGCCGUACUAUAUCCAGCAAACAGCCCAUUCUAAAGAUGGCCAUGUACCUUACGGUGCGACGAAAAUGUCACGGGAAUCGCAUGUGAAGCAUACCUCUAUGGGACAACAAGGAAAAUGAUGCGGGAUUCGAGCUUCAUUCGAUAAGGCGUCACAAGCGGAUGUCGUACAGCCAAGCCAGGUACGAUAACGGAUCCGUUAACGGUAAACUGAGUCGUCACUUCGCUUUCAUCUUGAAGUCAUAUGUUGCUUCCUUCCUUAUCAAGAACGCUCAAGGAGUCCUUGCCUUCAUUAUUUCCUCACACCGUAUCAUUCACCGGCUUUUAGCAGUGCCGAGCGACUCCUGAGUCCUAAUUUUUCGACCUCCUUUUCUUCUGGAUCGUACCGCUGUCCAACGAAGAUACCACAUUCAGGACAUAAGCCGUCAGCAUAGCAGCACGAUUUGGUCUAGAACCCUAAUUCAGACUAGUCAGUUGGCAACGACCCACAACGCCCUACGCCCUACGCCCUGCGCUAAUACUGCGGAGAGCCCCUUGGGUUGGGCGCCUUGCUUUCAGCGCGUUCACUAUUGGCUCCUGACUAUAACUACUAGCAAUGCUACCCAUAGCCGUAGAAGCAACGAGACGACCGUAACCUGUUGCAUGUCUUAUCGCAUUCUUGCUUCUAUCACUCCCUGCCUGCUACCAUCCUGCCCCUUUUUAAAUAUUAACCACCCUUCGCUUAGCCUCGUUUUGUAAUCUGCUACUUUAUCUGCGUUAGUCUUGCCCUGUUCUGCGCUAUUCUGUGCUCGCUCCUAUUCCUGCCAGGUAAAUGUUGUAGUUACUCGUGGCUGUCUGCGACCGAGCAGAAAACGAAGGGGAGCCCAUGGAACUGGAUGCCCUUCUCGUUUGGCUGUUUAACCUGUCCUUGAACGCCGGUAGUUUGGUGCGCGAACGAAGAGUUACGCGAGGGAAAAAGAAAAACGAGAAAGGAGAGCCACGGUUUUCCGCCAGAAGGAAUCUGGGAAAAGAUACCGGUCUAUUGUAUUGCUUCUACCGCUACAGCCAUCGAUGCUUCACAUCGUAUUCUUUUUCGUCUUCUUCCUCUUUGCGCUGGCAAAACCACUUGAAAAGAUGAACGCCAACAACGUACUGUUACCUACAACAAGGAGAGAGCGACGUGCACAAGUAACUAUGGAAGGUGAGAGACGAGCGGGAUUGGUACGUGAACGCCGAUCCUGCGAAUGUCGGCUUGGUCAGUGACGGAGUCACGACGACUAGCGCCUUGCAAUACAGUAACGAAACAAAGUUAGACGGCACACCUCUUAGAUAACGAUCAAAAUAGAUAAUGUGACAAUUAAAUACAAGGAGAAAGCGCGUGGCCCAGCACAUCAACGUCAAAAAAAUCGAGGGCGCGUUGUAUAGAAGGAUAACCUAAGGCUGAGGAACAAGAUGAGCAGAACGUCGUUGACAGCUAUAAAAUCGGAUACGGAAAGAGAAUUUAGCCUGCUACAUGCUUGAACAUAAGCUAGCCUUCGCCAGACCUAGGCGACGCAAUCGCCUUCUUCCUGCUCUAACUCAGAGGCGUCUGGGGUUAAGUCACUCAGAAAGAGUCCGAUUGCCUUUAACUUUUAACCCAACUUACAGUUCAUCAAUUCAAUAGCUACCUCCUUCCGACACGUAGCGCCAUCAGUAUGGUGGCGCUUCUGUUGAGAUUCAGAUACCUGCGGAGCCUCAAGAAAGCUUCCGGUACGACCCGCUGCUCGUUCCUAAACCCUAGCUCCGCUCCCGACUCGCCUUGGCCCUCACUCAACGCUGCGAAUCGUUCCUCGUAAAAUUUAAUUAAGAGUUGCUCUUUAAGUUCAAGUAAAAGCGCAUGCGGCGGUGAAUGUUUCAAGAGAAGCUACAACAAGCAGGACGUACCCAGAACACCUUAAGCUUGUUUCAAACCUCGUCAACCGCUACGCCUCUGGUUGCACACGGACGGAUUCGUCCAUACGCUUCUUCCCAUUUCUGUAAGCGACGCAUCCCGUGCUAAAAGUCAAUAUAUAAUUUAACAGGCCUAGUCGCAGUAAAAGUAGUGGCGAUUGAUUUUAGCUUUGUCUUUGUCAGUAGCGAAGGGACCCAGUGGCGAUGGGAGGCCCAGAACGCUGCUGGGGAUCGGAGAGCUGGAGACCAAGCGUCGACGGGAAACCGAGUUUUGCAGGUUUCACUAAGGGACAGACUAAUCGCGUUGAAAAAGUAAGAAGAUAGAGGCCCACUCAUUGUGCUGGGUUCAUGACGCUCAUGGGCGCCCUUGCUAGCACCCGAUACGUGAUAGGUCCAUGGAAAAGGAAAAUGAUUGCAGAACUGCUUAUACGCCCGUAGCACCUCGUGCAAGCCAUUAUACGCGUUUAUGACGAAAUGGUGUCUGUGACGUACACGUAUUGCUGUGCGAGAAACGGAUUAUUAUGUUUAGCGAUUGUU